This 253-nucleotide ribosomal RNA is filed under the name uncultured bacterium. RNAcentral describes it as "partial 16S ribosomal RNA". It matches the Rfam family "Bacterial small subunit ribosomal RNA", at positions 524 to 776 of the family's 1533-position model. The record is from RNAcentral.
UACGAAGGGGGCUAGCGUUGUUCGGAAUUACUGGGCGUAAAGCGCGCGCAGGCGGUCCUUCAAGUCAGAGGUGAAAGCCCAGGGCUCAACCCUGGAACUGCCUUUGAAACUGGAGGACUUGAGUACGGGAGAGGUGAGUGGAAUUCCGAGUGUAGAGGUGAAAUGCGUAGAUAUCGGAAGGAACACCGGUGGCGAAAGCGGCACGCUGGGCCUCUUCUGACGCUGAGGCGCGAAAGCCAGGGGAGCAAACGGG